Non-coding RNA from Zonotrichia albicollis (white-throated sparrow), 727 nucleotides. The record is from RefSeq and is a predicted model, not a curated record. Lineage: Eukaryota; Metazoa; Chordata; Aves; Passeriformes; Passerellidae.
AUUGCAGUAAGCCUGGUUGUGAGGUGUGAACACCUUGUUGUGAGAAGGAAUCAACUCCAGGCUUAAACAGAACAUCUAGGGUCUCCUCCCAUGGCAGUGGUGAGCCUUGGAAAGUGUUUCAGGAUUCACCAGUUGGCUUGUCAAAUUAGCAUCAGAGACUGCUUUGGAUGUAAAAUCAUAAAUCAUUUGGUGACCUGAAGGGGAUAAAGUAUUGGCUAAAAGGAAAGUUUAACUUGAAGAGAAGCCUUUUCUGUGCUCUGGUGCCACCUUUAAGGGGGAGGUUGGCCUCUGUGGGCUGACCUCUCCUCUGCAGGCUCUGCAUCCCUUCACUAUGAAGUCAUGGAGGUGCUACUGAGCUUCCACGAAACAGCAGCAAAGCAAGGAUAUUUAUGAGUCCUUAAUGCCAAGAUCUGAUGCCCCCACUAUCCAGCAACUGCCAUGGUUUUGACUCCAGACCAUCCUUAAUGGAGGGCUGUUCAGAAAACCAAGUUUAAUCGAACAAACAGUGGUGGGGUAACACCUCACAGACAAGUGUGUUCAUUAAAUUAAUCAUCAGGUCCUUUGUGCUGCCUCCACCACUUGGUUCUCAGGAAAUUUGACUUCUGUAUCAGUGCUUGGCUUAGGUCAAAUUCCAUUUAGGUCUUUCUGUUGUGUGAAAAAUCUUUAGCAGCCAAAGAGCAAGGAAAGAUUCAGCAAAGGAAGGAUGUGGCAAACCAUCUACUUCACU